RNAcentral lists this ribosomal RNA (1556 nucleotides) under Cronobacter dublinensis subsp. dublinensis LMG 23823. Its description in RNAcentral is "bacterial SSU rRNA". It matches the Rfam family "Bacterial small subunit ribosomal RNA". The record is from RNAcentral. Lineage: Bacteria; Pseudomonadati; Pseudomonadota; Gammaproteobacteria; Enterobacterales; Enterobacteriaceae.
ACUUUAAUUGAAGAGUUUGAUCAUGGCUCAGAUUGAACGCUGGCGGCAGGCCUAACACAUGCAAGUCGGGCGGUAACAGGAAUCAGCUUGCUGAUUUGCUGACGAGCGGCGGACGGGUGAGUAAUGUCUGGGAAACUGCCUGAUGGAGGGGGAUAACUACUGGAAACGGUAGCUAAUACCGCAUAACGUCUUCGGACCAAAGUGGGGGACCUUCGGGCCUCAUGCCAUCAGAUGUGCCCAGAUGGGAUUAGCUAGUAGGUGGGGUAAAGGCUCACCUAGGCGACGAUCCCUAGCUGGUCUGAGAGGAUGACCAGCCACACUGGAACUGAGACACGGUCCAGACUCCUACGGGAGGCAGCAGUGGGGAAUAUUGCACAAUGGGCGCAAGCCUGAUGCAGCCAUGCCGCGUGUAUGAAGAAGGCCUUCGGGUUGUAAAGUACUUUCAGCGAGGAGGAAGGUGUUGUGGUUAAUAACCACAGCAAUUGACGUUACUCGCAGAAGAAGCACCGGCUAACUCCGUGCCAGCAGCCGCGGUAAUACGGAGGGUGCAAGCGUUAAUCGGAAUUACUGGGCGUAAAGCGCACGCAGGCGGUUUGUUAAGUCAGAUGUGAAAUCCCCGGGCUCAACCUGGGAACUGCAUUUGAAACUGGCAAGCUUGAGUCUCGUAGAGGGGGGUAGAAUUCCAGGUGUAGCGGUGAAAUGCGUAGAGAUCUGGAGGAAUACCGGUGGCGAAGGCGGCCCCCUGGACGAAGACUGACGCUCAGGUGCGAAAGCGUGGGGAGCAAACAGGAUUAGAUACCCUGGUAGUCCACGCCGUAAACGAUGUCGACUUGGAGGUUGUGCCCUUGAGGCGUGGCUUCCGGAGCUAACGCGUUAAGUCGACCGCCUGGGGAGUACGGCCGCAAGGUUAAAACUCAAAUGAAUUGACGGGGGCCCGCACAAGCGGUGGAGCAUGUGGUUUAAUUCGAUGCAACGCGAAGAACCUUACCUGGUCUUGACAUCCAGAGAAUCCUGCAGAGAUGCGGGAGUGCCUUCGGGAACUCUGAGACAGGUGCUGCAUGGCUGUCGUCAGCUCGUGUUGUGAAAUGUUGGGUUAAGUCCCGCAACGAGCGCAACCCUUAUCCUUUGUUGCCAGCACGUAAUGGUGGGAACUCAAAGGAGACUGCCGGUGAUAAACCGGAGGAAGGUGGGGAUGACGUCAAGUCAUCAUGGCCCUUACGACCAGGGCUACACACGUGCUACAAUGGCGCAUACAAAGAGAAGCGACCUCGCGAGAGCAAGCGGACCUCAUAAAGUGCGUCGUAGUCCGGAUUGGAGUCUGCAACUCGACUCCAUGAAGUCGGAAUCGCUAGUAAUCGUGGAUCAGAAUGCCACGGUGAAUACGUUCCCGGGCCUUGUACACACCGCCCGUCACACCAUGGGAGUGGGUUGCAAAAGAAGUAGGUAGCUUAACCUUCGGGAGGGCGCUUACCACUUUGUGAUUCAUGACUGGGGUGAAGUCGUAACAAGGUAACCGUAGGGGAACCUGCGGUUGGAUCACCUCCUUACCUGCAAGA